This is a long non-coding RNA of Lonchura striata (white-rumped munia), 1366 nucleotides long. The record is from Ensembl. Lineage: Eukaryota; Metazoa; Chordata; Aves; Passeriformes; Estrildidae.
CCAGGCAGACCCUGCCAGGAGGGCGUGGGCGAAGCGUGCGGCCCGAGGAGCCCGGCGUUCUCAAGAGAAUAAUGCUGAGCACGGGACCACAGCCCGGUGACCAAAGGACAUUCCCUGCAGGCGAGGCAGCCUCCAUUGCCAUGCGACGUGGAUUCUCAUCCCCAGAUGCCGGAGAGAUAAGUGGAGGGCUAAGGCCCACAGAGGGGGUGAAAGCGGGGUGCUGGGAGGGCCUUUAGGAUCAGCUUUUGGGGCAGGGAUGUGCAAGAAGUGUCCCCUUAGGCCAGCUAAAGGCAAAGUGUCUGUUUUGAUCUCAGUGCUGAGGCGCUCAGGGCAGAGCAGUGCUGGUGUGUGUCCUGUCACUUGUCUCUGGUGCACUCUGUGUUCUUUGGGUCUCUCAGUCCUUUCUUCUCCUCAAAAGCUCUCUCUUCCUGUCCUGUGUCACAGGUGUCUGCACAUGUUAUCCCACAGCUGCUCUGCCCUGCUGCAUAGCCUGUAAUAGCACAAGUCCUGGGGACUUGAAAUUUGUAAUGCAGGGUGUACUUGGGCUCUAGAUUGGAUUAGGAGAUUGACAUAACAUGUUUGGUGCUGUUGAGUUGUCCUGCAGCUGUUUGACACUAGUCCUAACUUCCUUUCAGAUGCAGACAGUUCAGAUCCGUGGCAGAGAGCCCCAGUCCUGGGAGGUCCAGGCAGAUAGCAGCAGUCAAGGCCCUGUGUGCCAGGCAGUCUUCUUGCAAGAUGUCUCUGGUCCGGAUGUCCAAGGCCAGGUGGGUGCAAGCGUAAUGUCUGGGUGGGUGUGCUUUUCAGGUCAGGGGGAUGUUGUUUUCACAGUAUCUCAGUGUGGGUUUUUUUGCUUUGUUUUUUUGCAGGUGCUGUCUCUGCCCUAGCUGUGUGAAGGAACAGAGGCGAGCGGGUGAGUUGGCAUUUUGGCACAGUGACUCACAGGUGACCCUUAUGCAGCAGCAUGCUAAGUGUGUACUUUAUGUUUUUCAGGUAUCCUCCAGGCAGCCUGUGGAGUCAAAUUGAGACUUCAGGUGAGCUGGGGCAGCGGUGUGUCGGAGUUUUGGGGAUUCCUCUUUUCGUGGGCACUGGUUGCAUUUUCUGUUUUGUCUUAGGUACCCUGAGGAGGAGCGUAGCUGAAGUUUGUUAACGGCAGCACCGAAGCGGAUGUACAGAACGUCUUGUCGUCCACAUCGAACUGACAUUGGAUUCCAUCCGGUUGUCUUGCAAAAGCUAAGUGCUGGGGCCAGUAGGUGGGAGAUGGGGGGAAAACCUUUACUAUCACAGGAGGCUAUUUGAUGUUAGCUUGGAGAAUAGGCCCAUAGUGGGACGGGCCCCUCGGGAGCAAAGGGAGAGGGUUUCUCCUCAG